GGAGGAUGUUAGUGAGUUAAGGUAGUAGAGUCCUUCUGAUUCAAGUCUUGUUCCAAUCGUCUGUCCCGUACUGCGGUCCUGCAUAAUAAAAGAAUCAUUAGAAAAAUAUAUACCGUAAUGGAGGGCACGAGUCAAACGACUAACAUAUGCAAGAUUAAAAGGACAGCCAGGGACAUAAAGAACAGAAUCUAGAGUGACAAAGGGUAGAGGAUUCGCUUGUCCAACUCCUUUUGCUUUAGUUUGAGACCCAUUAGCUAAACUAACAUGGGGAAGAAACUGUGAAUACACAAUAUUUGACAAAAGGGAUUUAUUACCAGAGAUUUGAUCAGAAGCAGCUGAGUCCACAACCCAUUGUUCAAGAGGACUAGACUG
Molecule: long non-coding RNA, 372 nt
Filed under: Nicotiana benthamiana
Lineage: Eukaryota; Viridiplantae; Streptophyta; Magnoliopsida; Solanales; Solanaceae
Description: long non-coding RNA (NBEN_LNC023933)
Source: RNAcentral